CCAUGUUUUCAGAAAAACAUAUUACCCAUUCUUUUGGUUGAAAUGAAUCUAAGAAAGCAACUUGUGUGUUCAUUCUGAAACACCUAAAGCUUGACUCGACUACAUUUGUACAGUAGCAUUAAGAAAUUGGAAAGGGUUCCAUCAGUUACAGAUUCACCCAUGAAGGGCACAAAAACAUCCUGAAGAAGUAAAUCUAAUACCAUACAAAGUAUGUUACAGUUUUUGAAAUUUUUCUACCAGUGCAUGAUCAGCAAAUCGACCGUCCUUCAGUUUUAAUAAAUCAAUCUAAUUUAAUGGCAACACAACACCUUACAAUCACCCAAAAUUCCAUGAAUAUGGACAUAUCACCACUAUUGUGAAGUCGUAGAUGGUAAUGGCCAUCGCGCAAUGUGAGCCUCGGAGAGGAAGAGCAGGGUUUGGCAGAGCCAACCUUCACAGGUUGGCAGCAGACACACUUGUCAUUGCUCACACGUGCGCUGCUCCCGCGCCCAUCAUCUUGGCUGCCACUCCCGCCACUAGCAAGAUGCACAUAGCACACUGGAACAAACAAAAAAAUAUGAGAGAAGUACUGAACAAACUUUGACAGUGAGAAAGAAUCAAAGUGCUACAGCCAAAUAAACUCCUCACUAUCACCAGCAAGAUUUAGUCUGAAUUAUGCAUAUCAUUCCUUCAAAGCAUUCAUAUACUCUGAGUUAAUCAACAAUAAUCAUGAAGCACACGUGUCUACCCAUGUCGUAGGCCAUCGACUCCAGUCCCCAAUGGACUCCUUCAACAAUGCAAUGUCUUCCUGUAGCAAUGCAAAAUUCAGUAACAAAGACAACAAGCCUAGUGAGAGAGUCAAUAGCAAAAUAAACACUUUCAACCAAUUCCCGAGAAACAGAGAGUACGCAUAGGAACUUACCAUUGAUGUAACAAUGCAAUGCCAUUUCAUAUUUGUAGCUGGUUGGUUUUAGAGGGAUUCUGGUAAAAAAUCUAAAUUAUUUAAGGUUGCCUCUUUCCAGAAAUGAAAUAGAAAUGUAAAUUCAGUACGCAUGUGGAUAAGAAUAAAAUGAAACUUCCUAUCUGCAUUAAAACAUCAAGCUCCAUACUGAAAAAUUAACAGGUCACAACAAAUCACUGGAAAGUAGCAUUUCAUAGAACUAGCUCUUUGCUCAGCUUAUUUUUCCCACCUCUCUCAGUUUGAACUUCCUUAUUGAUUAUUGUUGAAUCCAUUUUAUAACAAAAAAAAAGAGUCACUCAAGGUAAACGUGAACUUUGAUCCAAAACUAUAAGAACAAGGAAAAUGCCUUUUUACCUGUGUUUCUUACGAUGGUUUCCCUUUACAUAUGUGUUGUUGUAGUUAGCUAGCCGCAGAUGAAGCAUCAAGAACACAAGUCAUGAUCAAAUAUUGCUUCCAGAUGGAAUUUCCUCAAACAAGUUAUGUGCACGUGUUGUACUUUCCUGUUGAAAAUAUGAACAACAACAAACAUGUCAUCAUUGUAAUGAAAUUGAAGGACGUCUAUGAAUUCGACAUUCAAACUUCAUAAGGGCAUUACUAACUAAUCUUCCUCCAUAUAUCUGCAAGUAUCCGUGAAGGAAAAAAACAUCUCCAAGUUACGUUGAUCUGAUUCAAGCUCCAUACAAAUCCUAAACAAAAUCAAAUCAGGAGGUACCUGGCGCUUGAUUUGAUAUGGACAUGACGGCACCAUUUGUGGAGAGAAGCACUUGGGGAGGUCAAUGGCGAGCAAGGCCAUGGCGGUAGUGACGACGCAGGACAAAGGCGCGCGGAGAGGAGAGGCCAGCACCGCUGCAUUCCCUGCUUGGGAGCUGCUUGGGAGCCGGAUGUCACGCGCUCCCGGCCACCCCAUCGGGCCCCGUGUGGUGCUCCACUCUGCUCUGGCAGCGGCGGGAUCAAGCCCUAUGUGGAUGUGCUCAUCCGGCGACCCACAUCUCCUGGCUUUGCACCCCCCUCGUCCACUUCUCUCCUCUAUGCCCAGGCUCCUCCCACCGCUGCUGCUGUCUCUCUAUCAGUGAGUAGGUGGAAGAGGAAGGCGAGGUUGAGGCGCCCUGUCCAGAUCUUGGCCCUGAAGAUUAAACACGAACAAAAAAGGUAAAUCAACAGAAAGGAAAUGGGAGGAGCAGAUCCAUGGAAGGAGGUCGGGCGGCUCACUGGGCACCAUCUAGGGUCGUCUCCGCCACCGCCUCUACGCAGGCUCCUGGCCGGCCGAUGACCAGGGCGUCGCGCCACCCCGCUUUUCCUUGGCUAGCUCAUGCGUUUAGGCGCGGCCGUCGCUGGUGAUGAGGUGGGUGUGACAAGGAGACGAGGAGGGGCUUGGGGCGGAUCAGGAAGGGGGAGGUGGACAGAUGCAGGAGGGCGCGACUAGGGUUCGUGGGGGUGGCGGCUGAGAAAGGGAGGACCGGAGGAGGGAGAGGUGCGGGCUGGCGGCUGUGGGGAUUGGUGGGCCAAUGGGCUUUCCAGGAGGCUCAACCAAUUAGAUCCUCACACCAACGAAGCCAGCCAAUACAUGACGACCCCACCGACAAAGAGGCCCACCGGUCAUGCACAUGGGAAAGAAAUAACAUGGUGAAACAUGCAGUCAAUAUCCAAUGGUGAAGGAGAGGCAUGGUGGGAAUUUUACCUCGAUCUGACGGCCAGCGAAGGAACCGGUCGAGGGAGCCUUCUCCAUGCGAGUUGGCUAGCCUCAUUAUUGUUUUAAAUUAAGGCCUCCUUUUAAUAGAGUAUCAUACCAAAGCAUUAACACUUAGUGAAUACAUGAACUCCUCAAACUACGGUCAUCACCGGGAGUGGGCCCGAUUAUUGUCACUUCGGGGUUGCCGGAUCAUAACACAUAGUAGGUGACUAUUGACUUGCAAGAUAGGAUCAAGAACUCACAUAUAUUCAUGAAAAAAUAGGUCCAGAUCUGAAAUCAUGUCACUCAAGCCCUAGUGACAAGCAUUAAGCAUAGCAAAGUCAUAGCAACAUCAAUCUUAAAACAUAAUGGAUAGUAGGGAUCAAACCCCAACAAAACUAACUCGGUUACAUGGUAAAUCUCAUCCAACCCAUCACCGUCCAGCAAGCCUACGAUGGGAUUACUCACACACGGUGGUGAGCAUCAUGAAAUUGGUGAUGAAGGAUGGUUGAUGAUGAUGAUGGCGAUGGAUUCCCCUCUCUGGAGCACCGAACGGACUCCAGAUCAGCCCUCCCGAGGAAGAACAGGGCUUGGCGGCGGCUCCGUAUCGUAAAACGCGAUGAAUCCUUCCCUCUGUUUUUUUCUCCCCGAAAGUGAAUAUAUGGAGUUGGGGUUGAGGUCGGUGGAGUCCCAGGGGGCCCACAAGGCAGGGGCGCGCCCCUGGGGGGCCUGCACCCUCAUGGACAGGGUGUGGGCCCCGUGACGUUGAUUCUUUCGCCAAUAUUUUUUUAUUAAAUCCAAAAUGUGUCUCCGUGGAUUUUCAGGUCAUUCCGAGAUCUUUUAUUUCUGCACAAAAAUAACACCAUGGCAAUUCUGCUAAAAACAUUGUCGGCCCGGUUUGUUCCAUUCAAAUCAUGCAAGUUAGAGUCCAAAAUAAGGGCAAAAGUAUUUGGAAAAGUAGAUACGUUGGAGACAUAUCAACUACCCCAAGCUUAAACCUUUGCUUGUCCUCAAGCAAUUUAGUUGACAAACUGAAAGUGAUAAAUAAAAACUUUUACAAACUCCGUUUGAUUUUGUUGUUGCAAAUAUGUAAAGCCAGCAUUCAUGUUUUCAACAAAGAUUAUGAACUAACCACAUUCACAAUAACAUUAAGGUCUCAUGUUUACUCAUAUCAAUGGCAUAAUCAACUAGCGAUUGAUAAUAAUAAAUCUCGGAUAACAACACUUUCUCAAAACAAUCAUAAUAUGAUAUAACAAGAUGAUAUCUCGCUAGCUCUUUCUGAGACCGCAAAACAUAAAUGCAGAGCACCCCUAAAGAUCAAGGACUGACUAGACAUUGUAAUUUAUGGGAAAAGAGAUCCAGUCAUAGUCAUACUCAAUGUAAACUAAUAGCAAUGCAUGCAAAUGAUAGCGGUGCUCUCCAACUGGUGCUUUUUAAUAAGAGGAUGAUGACUCAACAUAAAAGUAAAUAGAUAGGCCCUUUGUAGAGGGAAGCAGGGAUUUGCAGAGGUGCCAGAGCUCGAGUAUUGAAACAGAGAUAAAUAAUAUUUUGAGCAGCAUACUUUCUUUGUCAACAUAACAACCAAAAGA
This 4198-nucleotide long non-coding RNA is filed under the name Triticum aestivum (bread wheat). Its description in RNAcentral is "long non-coding RNA (TAES_LNC016102)". Lineage: Eukaryota; Viridiplantae; Streptophyta; Magnoliopsida; Poales; Poaceae. The record is from RNAcentral.